RNAcentral lists this ribosomal RNA (484 nucleotides) under uncultured bacterium. Its description in RNAcentral is "bacterial SSU rRNA". It matches the Rfam family "Bacterial small subunit ribosomal RNA", at positions 62 to 543 of the family's 1533-position model. The record is from RNAcentral.
UCGAACGGGGUGGAGGGCAACCUCCAUUCAGUGGCGAACGGGUGAGUAAUGCAUCGGAACGUGUCCUUGGGUGGGGGAUAACCCGGCGAAAGCCGGACUAAUACCGCAUACGCUCUGAGGAGGAAAGCGGGGGACCUGAAAGGGCCUCGUGCGCAAGGGGCGGCCGAUGUCCGAUUAGCUAGUUGGUGGGGUAAUGGCCCACCAAGGCUGCGAUCGGUAGCUGGUCUGAGAGGAUGAUCAGCCACACUGGGACUGAGACACGGCCCAGACUCCUACGGGAGGCAGCAGUGGGGAAUUUUGGACAAUGGGGGCAACCCUGAUCCAGCCAUGCCGCGUGCGGGAAGAAGGCCUUCGGGUUGUAAACCGCUUUUAGCCGGGAAGAAAGGGGCACGGAUAACACCCGUGCUCGUUGACGGUACCGGCGGAAUAAGCACCGGCUAACUACGUGCCAGCAGCCGCGGUAAUACGUAGGGUGCGAGCGUUA